AGCAGCCGCGGUAAUUCCAGCUCCAAUAGCGUAUAUUAAAGUUGUUGCAGUUAAAAGCUCGUAGUUGAAUUUCGGGGUUAGCAGGUCGGUCGUGCCAUCGGUAUGAACUGGUCUCGCUGAUCCCUCCCUCUUGACGAACUGUGAUGCCAUUAAUUUGGUGUCGCAGGGAAUCAGGACUGUUACUUUGAAAAAUUAGAGUGUUUAAAGCAGGCUCACGCUUGAAUACAUUAGCAUGGAAUAAUGAAAUAGGACGUUUGAUCCUAUUUUGUUGGUUUCUAGGAUCGACGUAAUGAUUAAUAGGGAUAGUUGGGGGCAUUAGUAUUCAAUUGUCAGAGGUGAAAUUCUUGGAUUUAUUGAAGACUAACUACUGCGAAAGCAUUUGCCAAGGAUGUUUUCNUUAAUCAAGAACGAAAGUUAGGGGAUCGAAGACGAUCAGAUACCGUCGUAGUCUUAACCAUAAACUAUGCCGACUAGGGAUCGGAUGAUGUUAAUUUUUAAU
RNAcentral lists this unclassified non-coding RNA (499 nucleotides) under uncultured Glomus. RNAcentral describes it as "SSU rRNA". It matches the Rfam family "Eukaryotic small subunit ribosomal RNA", at positions 569 to 1074 of the family's 1831-position model. Lineage: Eukaryota; Fungi; Glomeromycota; Glomeromycetes; Glomerales; Glomeraceae. The record is from RNAcentral.